ACUCGCUCACCCCCGUAUUUCAGCUUCCUUCCUUCCUUCCGUGGUGGUGGUGUGUUUCGCGCGGUAGUUUUUCUUCUCAUUUGCCCGGACAUUACCUACCAAACACAUUCCCGCGGGUGACCUUCCGCCCCGCCGCGCCGUCCUCCUCCCCGCCUCACUGGACAUCCAUCAAAAGGUGGGUGGCGUCGCGAGGUGAAUCCGCCGCGCUGAGGCCAGACGGAAAGGGUGACGGAUGAGCCUAGCGCGGGCUGCCUCACGACCAUUGCAGCCUCCAGACGACUCGCUGACUCACGGGGCUGCCUCCGCGCCCGUGUGUCUGGCUGGCCUAGGGCAGGAGGGGGAUGUACUGGCGCGAGUGGGUAGCCGUGAAGUCGUUGUGUGGAAAGCCUGAUAGACUGUGAAGAUGAAACAGUCAAUCCGUUACAAUUCUCGGACGAUUUUUAUUAUCGCACCACCGCGGACCGGCCAGUUAUAUUCGCCCCGAUGGUUGCGUGGUCAGUCUGCGGGCGCGGUGUCCUGAAGCAAACUGACAAUCACCCUCACCAACGAGUGGCCGAAGACUACCCUACAUGUCCUAAUGACCGCCCAUCAACCCUUACUCUGGCGAAGCUCUCUGGAGACGAUCAAAGAUGAGUUCCGGGGGGCAGCAUAAGCCAGGCAAAAGGGCGCCACUAUAAACACUUACCUGCGCCACUAAUGGGCUGGGACCGACAAGCAGACCUGAUCAAGAAAGCAUACCGAUGAUUUAUAUAUAUACACAGGCCGAACGUAAUAAAAAGACUCCCCUGUGUG
Eriocheir sinensis (Chinese mitten crab) is the source of this 792-nucleotide long non-coding RNA. RefSeq lists it as uncharacterized. Lineage: Eukaryota; Metazoa; Arthropoda; Malacostraca; Decapoda; Varunidae. The transcript is spliced from 3 exons. The record is from RefSeq and is a predicted model, not a curated record.